Cavia porcellus (domestic guinea pig) is the source of this 245-nucleotide long non-coding RNA. RefSeq lists it as uncharacterized. The transcript is spliced from 3 exons. NCBI's taxonomy places the organism in Eukaryota, Metazoa, Chordata, Mammalia, Rodentia, Caviidae. The record is from RefSeq and is a predicted model, not a curated record.
CAGCCUACCAUGGGUACCAGGUUCUUUUCCUGGUUUGCCCUCUGUCUUCUGGGAAUAGCCUCUGUCUUCAUAGAUCACACCGAAGCUGGAGUCUCCCAGUCCCCCAGUUACAAGAAUGAACUUCCAUCAGACACCUCAGGGAUGCCUACUGAGAGGUUCUCAACAGAGAGGACUGAGGGCACCUUCUCCCAUCUGAAGAUCAAAAGUGCACAGCCAGGGGAUUCUGCUGUGUACCUCUGUGCAAG